GCGGAGGAAAAGAAACCAACAGGGAUUGCCUCAGUAACGGCGAGUGAAGCGGCAACAGCUCAAAUUUGAAAUCUGGUCCUUUCAGGGCCCGAGUUGUAAUUUGUAGAAGAUGCUUCGAGCGUGGCACCGGUCUAAGUUCCUUGGAACAGGACGUCAUAGAGGGUGAGAAUCCCGUAUGCGACUGGCCGCCUUCGUUCAUGUGAAGCUCUUUCGACGAGUCGAGUUGUUUGGGAAUGCAGCUCAAAAUGGGUGGUAUAUUUCAUCUAAAGCUAAAUAUUGGCCAGAGACCGAUAGCGCACAAGUAGAGUGAUCGAAAGAUGAAAAGCACUUUGGAAAGAGAGUUAAACAGUACGUGAAAUUGUUGAAAGGGAAGCGCUUGCAACCAGACUUGCACGCUGCCGAUCAUCUGGGGUUCUCCCCAGUGCACUCGGUUGCGUUCAGGCCAGCAUCGGUUUGGGUGGUUGGAUAAAGGCCUUGGGAAUGUAGCUUCUUUCGGGGAGUGUUAUAGCCCUCGGUGCAAUGCAGCCUACCCGGACCGAGGACCGCGCUUCGGCUAGGAUGCUGGCGUAAUGGUUGUAAGAGCCCCGUCUUG
Molecule: ribosomal RNA, 592 nt
Filed under: Microscypha sp. TNS-F18016
Lineage: Eukaryota; Fungi; Ascomycota; Leotiomycetes; Helotiales; Hamatocanthoscyphaceae
Description: eukaryotic LSU rRNA
Rfam family: Eukaryotic large subunit ribosomal RNA
Source: RNAcentral